Vanessa tameamea is the source of this 237-nucleotide long non-coding RNA. RefSeq lists it as uncharacterized. The transcript has 2 exons. The record is from RefSeq and is a predicted model, not a curated record. Lineage: Eukaryota; Metazoa; Arthropoda; Insecta; Lepidoptera; Nymphalidae.
GGGAGGUGUCAUAUAUUUAUAGGAUUUCAUACUUAUGGUUUACGGGUCUUGGUUGCUCGGUGACGGUAAUAGUGGCUUGCCUUGUUAGUUUAAGAUCAUCGAAAAAUAAAAUUGACUCCAGACUUUUCGCACCAUUUCUGAGAUCUUGGUUAACGCACAAAUAUGAGGUGGAACAUAUGGAUUUAAAAAGCACUCCGAGCUGAUAAUAAAUAUUUUUUAUUAGAUUAAAUAAAAAUA